This 75-nucleotide transfer RNA is filed under the name Chitinophagaceae bacterium. RNAcentral describes it as "tRNA-Gln". It matches the Rfam family "tRNA". From Rfam's summary of the family: Transfer RNA (tRNA) molecules are approximately 80 nucleotides in length. Their secondary structure includes four short double-helical elements and three loops (D, anti-codon, and T loops). Further hydrogen bonds mediate the characteristic L-shaped molecular structure. tRNAs have two regions of fundamental functional importance: the anti-codon, which is responsible for specific mRNA codon recognition, and the 3' end, to which the tRNAs corresponding amino acid is attached (by aminoacyl-tRNA synthetases). tRNAs cope with the degeneracy of the genetic code in two manners: having more than one tRNA (with a specific anti-codon) for a particular amino acid; and 'wobble' base-pairing, i.e. permitting non-standard base-pairing at the 3rd anti-codon position. The record is from RNAcentral. Lineage: Bacteria; Pseudomonadati; Bacteroidota; Chitinophagia; Chitinophagales; Chitinophagaceae.
GAAAAAGUCAUCGUCUAACGGUAAGACACCCGGCCUUGGAUCGGGGGAUGUCAGUUCGAAUCUGACGACCUUUCA